RNAcentral lists this ribosomal RNA (665 nucleotides) under uncultured actinomycete. RNAcentral's name for it is "bacterial SSU rRNA". It matches the Rfam family "Bacterial small subunit ribosomal RNA", at positions 229 to 901 of the family's 1533-position model. Lineage: Bacteria; Bacillati; Actinomycetota; Actinomycetes; Actinomycetales. The record is from RNAcentral.
AUUCGCGGCCUAUCAGCUUGUUGGUGAGGUAACGGCUCACCAAGGCAUCGACGGGUAGCUGGUCUGAGAGGACGAUCAGCCACACUGGAACUGAGACACGGUCCAGACUCCUACGGGAGGCAGCAGCAGGGAAUAUUGCACAAUGGGCGAAAGCCUGAUGCAGCAACGCCGCGUGAGGGAUGACGGCCUUCGGGUUGUAAACCUCUUUCAGGAGGGAAGAAAUUGACGGUACCUCCAAAAGAAGCCCCGGCUAACUACGUGCCAGCAGCCGCGGUAAUACGUAGGGGGCGAGCGUUGUCCGGAUUUAUUGGGCGUAAAGAGCUCGUAGGCGGCUCAGUAAGUCGGCUGUGAAAGUCCGAGGCUCAACCUCGGAACUGCAGUCGAUACUGCUGUGGCUAGAGUCAGGUAGAGGAGAAUGGAAUUCCCGGUGUAGCGGUGGAAUGCGCAGAUAUCGGGAGGAACACCAGUAGCGAAGGCGGUUCUCUGGGCCUGUACUGACGCUGAGGAGCGAAAGCGUGGGGAGCAAACAGGAUUAGAUACCCUGGUAGUCCACGCCGUAAACGUUGGGUACUAGGUGUGGCGAUCGGACUAACGAUUGCCGUGCCGAAGCUAACGCAUUAAGUACCCCGCCUGGGGAGUACGGAAUCGUCGACCCGCCGGGCCCU